Molecule: long non-coding RNA, 930 nt
Organism: Condylostylus longicornis
Lineage: Eukaryota; Metazoa; Arthropoda; Insecta; Diptera; Dolichopodidae
Exons: 2
Source: RefSeq, a predicted model, not a curated record
AGUGUUAGGGUAAAUAACCAAGGUAAUUUGGGACUUUUUUUUUAAUAUAAAUUUUUAUAUAAAUAUGAAGAACUAAAAGUGCAUCUCCAACAAUUGAAAACUGAGAUUCAGUAUAAUAAGUAUCUCUAAAAGUAUUAAGAAUUACUAGAAAUUGAAAAGAUGAAAUUUUUCUAUUUAAUAUCAUUUUUUAUUGUUAUGCUUUACUUUACUGAAGCAACAAUUGCUAGAGAGGACGAUUCACAACUUGAACAAAAUGAUCCAGAUUUGAGAGUUAAACGUCAAAUUUUUUCAUUAUGUUCAUCAUAUGAUUGUGGUAGAUCCUGUCGUUACACUGGUAAAUUAGGUGGAUUUUGUAUAGGAAAUAGAUGCUCAUGUUAUUAAGAAAUUUUCUUCUAUAUUAAUAUUAUAUAUAAAAUACCAUAUAAUUAUAAAAUAUUAAAUGUAAUCAAAUGUAUGUACUGUAAAAUGAAAAUACUUAAAAAUAUACCAAAAAUAUUCAAAAUUCUGUAAAACAUUAAAUAAUUUGAUAUAUUGUAAAGAAGACUACUAUAGUUCCACAAGAGCUGUAUUAUUUGAAAAUUCUAACCAGGGCAGUGAUGUAGCUAUAUAUAUUCGUAAUAUAAUAAAAUAAUAAUUAAUUACCAAAAAAAUUGGAAAAUAUACAUUAAAAAAUACAAUUAAUUAAAAUUAAAUUUAAAAUUCAUGGAAAUCUUAUUAUUUUCAAUAUAAUUAUGGAUUUUCCCUUUAAAAAUUUUUAAUGAAAAUACUUGAGUGAAAUUUUUGAUGAUGAGAAAUUCUUAAAAUUAUUCUUGAAUAAUAUUUAAAGAAUUUAAGAAGAUCAAUAAAAUGAAUUUCCAUUUCCUACUUAAAGUUCAAUUGAUUUUAUUGUUUUCAAAUAUGUUGUAAAUAAAUACAUAUAUAUAUAUAUAU